GAGCGCCCGUGGCCUAAUGGAUAAGGCAUUUGACUUCUAAUCAAAGGAUUGUGGGUUCGAAUCCCACCGGGCGUGCC
Molecule: transfer RNA, 77 nt
Filed under: Rosa chinensis
Lineage: Eukaryota; Viridiplantae; Streptophyta; Magnoliopsida; Rosales; Rosaceae
Also listed under: 1 other name
Description: tRNA RchiOBHm_Chr6g0257711
Rfam family: tRNA
About the family: Transfer RNA (tRNA) molecules are approximately 80 nucleotides in length. Their secondary structure includes four short double-helical elements and three loops (D, anti-codon, and T loops).
Source: RNAcentral